ACGGGGCUGCAGCAGGCGCGAAAACUUCACACUGGGGGGAACCCCGAUGAGGGAAAUCCUAGUGCUAGGACAUUUGUUCUAGCUUUUCUCAAGCGUAGAUAACUUGAGGAAUAAGGGCUGGGUAAGACGGGUGCCAGCCGCCGCGGUAAUACCUGCAGCCCAAGUGGUGGUCGAUUUUAUUGAGUCUAAAACGUUCGUAGCCGGUUCAUUAAAUCCUUGGGUAAAUCGGAGAGCUUAACUUCCCGACUUCCGAGGAGACUGGUGAACUUGGGACCGGGAGAGGCAAGAGGUACUUCUGGGGUAGGGGUAAAAUCCUGUAAUCCUAGAAGGACCACCGGUGGCGAAGGCGUUCUUGCUGAGAACGGAUCCGACGGUGAGGGACGAAGCCCUGGGGUCGCAAACGGGAUUUAGACACCCCGGUAGUUCAGGGUGUAAAACGCUGCAGACUUUGGGUGUUGGGGACCCCUUCGGGGGGUUGUUCAGUGCCCGGAGAAGAAGUUGUUAAGUCUGCUAACUUGGGGAAGUACGUUCCGGCAAGGGAUGA
RNAcentral lists this ribosomal RNA (544 nucleotides) under uncultured archaeon. Its description in RNAcentral is "bacterial SSU rRNA". It matches the Rfam family "Archaeal small subunit ribosomal RNA", at positions 325 to 852 of the family's 1478-position model. The record is from RNAcentral.